Molecule: ribosomal RNA, 506 nt
Filed under: uncultured Glomeromycotina
Lineage: Eukaryota; Fungi; Glomeromycota
Description: partial small subunit ribosomal RNA
Rfam family: Eukaryotic small subunit ribosomal RNA
Source: RNAcentral
CCAAUAGCGUAUAUUAAAGUUGUUGCAGUUAAAAAGCUCGUAGUUGAAUUUCGGGAUUGACGUGAUGGUCAUGCCUUAAGGGGUAUGAACUGUUACUGUUGAUUUCUCACCUUCUGGAGAAACUUGAUGUCCUUUAUUGGGUGUCUUGCGGAUCCAGGACCUUUACCUUGAAAAAAUUAGAGUGUUUAAAGCAGGCAUUUUUGCUCGAAUACAUUAGCAUGGAAUAAUAGAAUAGGACGGCAUGGUUCUAUUUUGUUGGUUUCUAGGAUCACCGUAAUGAUUAAUAGGGAUAGUUGGGGGCAUUAGUAUUCAAUUGUCAGAGGUGAAAUUCUUGGAUUUAUUGAAGACUAACUACUGCGAAAGCAUUUGCCAAGGAUGUUUUCAUUAAUCAAGAACGAAAGUUAGGGGAUCGAAGACGACCAGAUACCGUCGUAGUCUUAACCAUAAACUAUGCCGACUAGGAAUCAGACGAUGUUAAUUUUUUAAUGACUCGUUUGGCACCUUAC